RNAcentral lists this ribosomal RNA (420 nucleotides) under uncultured Kastovskya sp. Its description in RNAcentral is "bacterial SSU rRNA". It matches the Rfam family "Bacterial small subunit ribosomal RNA", at positions 356 to 789 of the family's 1533-position model. The record is from RNAcentral. Lineage: Bacteria; Bacillati; Cyanobacteriota; Cyanophyceae; Coleofasciculales; Coleofasciculaceae.
GGGGAAUUUUCCGCAAUGGGCGAAAGCCUGACGGAGCAAGACCGCGUGAGGGAGGAAGGCUCUUGGGUUGUAAACCUCUUUUCUCAGGGAAGAAAAAAAUGACGGUACCUGAGGAAUAAGCAUCGGCUAACUCCGUGCCAGCAGCCGCGGUAAUACGGAGGAUGCAAGCGUUAUCCGGAAUUAUUGGGCGUAAAGCGUCCGCAGGUGGCACAUCAAGUCUGCUGUCAAAGACCGGGGCUUAACCCUGGAAAGGCAGUGGAAACUGAAGUGCUAGAGUGCAGGAGGGGUAGAGGGAAUUCCCGGUGUAGCGGUGAAAUGCGUAGAUAUCGGGAAGAACAUCGGUGGCGAAGGCGCUCUACUGGACUGCAACUGACACUCACAGGACGAAAGCUAGGGGAGCGAAUGGGAUUAGAUACCCCA